AUUGAACGCUGGCGGCAGGCCUAACACAUGCAAGUCGAACGGUAACAGGAAGAAGCUUGCUUCUUUGCUGACGAGUGGCGGACGGGUGAGUAAUGUCUGGGAAACUGCCUGAUGGAGGGGGAUAACUACUGGAAACGGUAGCUAAUACCGCAUAACGUCGCAAGACCAAAGAGGGGGACCUUCGGGCCUCUUGCCAUCGGAUGUGCCCAGAUGGGAUUAGCUAGUAGGUGGGGUAACGGCUCACCUAGGCGACGAUCCCUAGCUGGUCUGAGAGGAUGACCAGCCACACUGGAACUGAGACACGGUCCAGACUCCUACGGGAGGCAGCAGUGGGGAAUAUUGCACAGUGGGCGCAAGCCUGAUGCAGCCAUGCCGCGUGUAUGAAGAAGGCCUUCGGGUUGUAAGUACUUUCAGCGGGGAGGAAGGGAGUAAAGUUAAUACCUUUGCUCAUUGACGUUACCCGCAGAAGAAGCACCGGCUAACUCCGUG
Molecule: ribosomal RNA, 489 nt
Filed under: uncultured bacterium
Lineage: Bacteria
Description: partial 16S ribosomal RNA
Rfam family: Bacterial small subunit ribosomal RNA
Source: RNAcentral